CAAUGGACGAAAGUCUGACGGAGCAACGCCGCGUGAGUGAUGAAGGUUUUCGGAUCGUAAAACUCUGUUGUUAGGGAAGAACAAGUACGAGAGUAACUGCUCGUACCUUGACGGUACCUAACCAGAAAGCCACGGCUAACUACGUGCCAGCAGCCGCGUAAUAC
This 164-nucleotide ribosomal RNA is filed under the name uncultured bacterium. RNAcentral's name for it is "partial 16S ribosomal RNA". It matches the Rfam family "Bacterial small subunit ribosomal RNA", at positions 369 to 526 of the family's 1533-position model. The record is from RNAcentral.